Molecule: long non-coding RNA, 919 nt
Organism: Cavia porcellus (domestic guinea pig)
Lineage: Eukaryota; Metazoa; Chordata; Mammalia; Rodentia; Caviidae
Exons: 3
Source: RefSeq, a predicted model, not a curated record
UGGCAGAUAGAUAGCAGCAGCUUCAGAAGCUCUCUGAAAAACCACACUUAAAAUCCAGGAAUGGUGCCAAGCGAGAAGUCCUAAGCAAGCGGAGAUACACCCUGCCGACCCAGGAACGAACUAAACUAAGAGAAGCCAACUGGAAACGCAAUCCUGAUGAUAUAACAGAACAGAUAAGGUCUCAGCACAGAAGCUGAAGCCGUGCCACUGGCAGCCGAGAUUUGAAUUUCCUGCAGCCGCCGCUGCGUCCCAAUCGGCAUAGCAAGUAGAGAGACACAAAAGCUCUGAGAGUGGGAAGCGGUGAAUGGAGUUGAGAGCGGGACUGGCCAGGAGCCCUGCAUUGACCUCCGACUAAAGAACACCUGGAGGAAGCACUUCGCAAACACCACUUGUCUCCUCUUGCUGUACCUCUCCCGGGAGUGUUUAAGGCCCCAGGACUCCAGCUUCCCUGAGUCUUCAUAGCAGGCUCGAAUUCCUAUUACUGAGUGACUGAAGAAACACAACUCAUGCUGACCAAAAAUGCUUCCCCCUAAAUACCCACAUUUCCCGCUUUCACAUCUGUACCAUCCACACUGAAGCACUAAGGUUACUGCCCAAUUAGAGGACAACACGUACAGUUUAUAAUGGACAGAAAGCAAGCACUGCCCCCCCAAUUAUAAAAUCCCCCUCUUUACAAGGUAGAUUUUACGAAUAAAGGUUGAAUUAGCAUCACAGCAGAAAUUCUGACAGUGUUUUUCUGCAAUUUAACCAGGUUUCAGAAACCCACUAUACCCCAAGGUUGGAAAGAAAGGAUUUUCAUCUGAGAGAUUUUUCUGAAAGAUUGCUUUUUUCUUGUGGAAAAAAAAAAACUGCACAAUUUGAUCACUUUAAUACUAAACUGGGAUAAUUUUGUUAUAGUUACAAUUCUGGUUUCAUUAAA